CUGCCAUGUCAAUUGUUGAAGGCCCUAAACCACCAUCCACCUCUAUAUCAAGGGAUGGGUAUUUCUUCCUCAAUGUCUUUACCUUAUCCAUCAUAUCUGGCAUGAACUUUUGCCCUCCAAAUCCCGGUUCCACAGUCAUGACAAGGACCAUUUCCACAGGAUUUUCACACUCAACCAAUGGAUAAACUUCUUCAAUAGGAGUUCCAGGCUUUAAAGCUACACCAGGCCUCAUGCCCUUGGACUUGAUUUUCUGGAUCAAUUCUCUCCAAUUUUCUCUGGAUGCCUCAACAUGAAACGUAAAUCCAGAAGCACCAGCUUUACCCAAAGGCUCAAUAUAAUCAAGAGGAUUGGUGACCAUAAGGUGGCAAUCCAAAUAUGCCCUUGUGUGUUUUCUCAAACUCUCAAUGACUGGAGCACCAAUGGUUAGAUUUGGGACAAAGUGCCCAUCCAUGAUAUCCAUGUGAAGCCAAUCAGCGCCGCAAUUGAGCAUGCGUUCCGACUCCGAUGCCAAAUUCGCGAAAUCCGAUGAGAGCAUCGACGGUGCGAUUUUCGGCGUCACCCCCAUUUUGCCGAUUGUUGACCCGAUUCCACACUAGUAACGGAUCCGAAUUCUGAAGAGGAAUUAGGUGGAUAACCUGGAAUGCGCGAGAGAGCAACGGGUUUCUGAAUUGAAAGUUGGCAAAACGGAGUCGUUUAGGUGUUUAAAAUUUGAAAUCGUUGAAUUUUGUUUAUUUCCACUCUCACCAACCUCGCCCAAUU
Molecule: unclassified non-coding RNA, 759 nt
Filed under: Hevea brasiliensis (rubber tree)
Lineage: Eukaryota; Viridiplantae; Streptophyta; Magnoliopsida; Malpighiales; Euphorbiaceae
Source: RNAcentral